UACGGAGGGUGCAAGCGUUAUCCGGAUUCACUGGGUUUAAAGGGUGCGUAUGUGGGCUAGUAAGUCCGUGGUGAAAUCUCCAAGCUUAACUUGGAAACUGCCGUGGAUACUAUUAGUCUUGAAUAUUGUGGAGGUAAGCGGAAUAUGUCAUGUAGCGGUGAAAUGCUUAGAUAUGACAUAGAACACCGAUAGCGAAGGCAGCUUGCUACACAAUCAUUGACACUGAGGCACGAAAGCGUGGGGAGCAAACAGG
This 253-nucleotide ribosomal RNA is filed under the name uncultured bacterium. RNAcentral describes it as "partial 16S ribosomal RNA". It matches the Rfam family "Bacterial small subunit ribosomal RNA", at positions 524 to 776 of the family's 1533-position model. The record is from RNAcentral.